GGACUUAUAAUACUAGUCAGAUGGAAAUCUAGUACUAGAAAGAAUAUAAGUCUUUCCUUCUGGGUAAAUUAUUAAAAUUUUAAUAAUUGAACCAGGACGAUUACUUUGAAAAAAUUAGAGUGUUCAAAGCAGGCGGGAAGCAUGAAUAUAUUAGCAUGGAAUAAUAGAAUAGGACGUUUGGACCUAUUUUGUUGGUUUCUAGGACCAUCGUAAUGAUUAAUAGGGACGGUCGGGGGCAUCAGUAUUCAAUUGUCAGAGGUGAAAUUCUUAGAUUUAUUGAAGACUAACUACUGCGAAAGCAUUUGCCAAGGACGUUUUCAUUAAUCAAGAACGAAAGUUAGGGGAUCGAAGA
Molecule: ribosomal RNA, 352 nt
Filed under: Macrorhabdus ornithogaster
Lineage: Eukaryota; Fungi; Ascomycota; Saccharomycetes; Saccharomycetales
Description: SSU rRNA
Rfam family: Eukaryotic small subunit ribosomal RNA
Source: RNAcentral